UUACAUUUAUAGUUGUACAAUGAUCAUCACAACCAAAUUUUAUAGCAUUUCCAUCCCAGAUCCCCAGUGCAUCCCCCACCCCACAACCUGUCUCAUUUGGAAACCAUAAGUUUUUCAAAGUCUGUGAGUCAGUAUCUGUUCUGCAAAGGAGUUCAUUCUGUCCUUUUUUCAGAUACCACAUGUAAGUGAUAGCAUUUGAUAUUGGUAUCUCAUGGUCUGAAUGACUUCAGUUAGCAAGAUAAUUUCUAGGUCCAUCCAUGUUGCUGCAAAUGCUGUUAUUUCUUUCCUUUUAAUGGCUGAAUAAUAUUCCAUUGUGUACAUGUACCACCUCUUUACCCACUCCUCUGUUGAUGGACAUUUAGGUUGUUUCUAUGUCUUGGCUAUUGAAAAUAGUGCUGCAAUGAACAUCGGAGUACAUGUGUCUUUUGCGAGUGGUGGUUUUCUCUGGAUAGAUGCCCAGGAGUGGGAUUGCUGGAUCAAAUGGUAGUUCUAUUUUUAGUUUUUUGAGGAAUCUCCAUACUGUUUUCCACCAACAGUGAUUGUACCAAUUUACAAUCCCACCAACAGUGUACUAGGGUUCCUUUUUCUCCACACCGUCUCCAGCACUUAUUGUUUGUAGACUUUUUGAUGAUGGCCAUUUUGGCUGGUGUAAGGUGGUACCUCCUAGUGGUUUUGAUUUGCAUUUCUCUAAUAUUGAGUGAUGUUGAACAUCUUUUCAUGUGUUUUUUUUGCCAUCUGUAUGUCAUGUCAUCUUUGGAGAAUUGUCUGUUUAGAUCUUCUGCCCAUUUUUAGAUGGAGUUGUUUGUUUUAUUGGUAUUGAGCUGUAGGAGGUGUUUAUAAAUUUUGGUGAUUGAUCCCUUGACAGUUGAUUCAUUUGCAAAGAUUUUCUCUCAUUCUGUGGGUUGUCUUUUCAUUUUGUUUAGGGUUUCCUUUGCUGUGCAGAAACUUUUAAGUUUAAUUAGGUCCCAUUUGUUUAUUUUUUAUUUUUACUGUCAUUGCUCUAAGAGGUGGAUCUGAGAAGAUGUUGCUAACAUUUACGUCAGAGAGUGUUUGGGCUGUUUUCCUCUAACAGUUUUAUAGUAUCCAGUCUAAAAUUUAGGGCUUUAAUCCACUUGGAGUUUAUUUUUGUGUAUGGUGUUAGGAAGUGUUGUAAUUUCAUU
This 1160-nucleotide long non-coding RNA is filed under the name Sus scrofa (pig). Its description in RNAcentral is "lncRNA (ENSSSCG00060048778.1)". The record is from RNAcentral. Lineage: Eukaryota; Metazoa; Chordata; Mammalia; Artiodactyla; Suidae.